RNAcentral lists this ribosomal RNA (484 nucleotides) under uncultured bacterium. RNAcentral's name for it is "partial 16S ribosomal RNA". It matches the Rfam family "Bacterial small subunit ribosomal RNA", at positions 28 to 523 of the family's 1533-position model. The record is from RNAcentral.
GAUGAACGCUGGCGGCGUGCUUAACACAUGCAAGUCGAACGGUGAAGCAGGAGCUUGCUCUUGUGGAUCAGUGGCGAACGGGUGAGUAACACGUGAGCAACCUGCCCCUGACUCUGGGAUAAGCGCUGGAAACGGCGCCUAAUACUGGAUAUGUGAUGUGACCGCAUGGUCUACAUCUGGAAAGAAUUUCGGUUGGGGAUGGGCUCGCGGCCUAUCAGCUUGUUGGUGAGGUAAUGGCUCACCAAGGCGUCGACGGGUAGCCGGCCUGAGAGGGUGACCGGCCACACUGGGACUGAGACACGGCCCAGACUCCUACGGGAGGCAGCAGUGGGGAAUAUUGCACAAUGGGCGGAAGCCUGAUGCAGCAACGCCGCGUGAGGGAUGACGGCCUUCGGGUUGUAAACCUCUUUUAGCAGGGAAGAAGCGAAAGUGACGGUACCUGCAGAAAAAGCACCGGCUAACUACGUGCCAGCAGCCGCGGUAA